This 648-nucleotide unclassified non-coding RNA is filed under the name Hevea brasiliensis (rubber tree). The record is from RNAcentral. Lineage: Eukaryota; Viridiplantae; Streptophyta; Magnoliopsida; Malpighiales; Euphorbiaceae.
AUUGCAUCUUUCAAAAUAAAAUUAGAACAUAAAAAAAUAUACACAAAAAUUCUGAUUCUAAACAUUACAAUUCCAAUCAACUUCUAAGUACAUAAAAGAAAAAACAAAACACAAUUGGGAUGUUAAUCUCAUAAAUUCUAGAAAUAUAAGCCCUAAAAUAUUAAAACCACCGUCAUUAAUUUGCCCCAUAUCGUAUCAGAGAUAAAGCAAUUAGGUUUCCUAAAUGUGUUUGAGGCAUGUACGCUGGUGAAUGUAGGGUGGGAAGCAUUCCUCACAAAAUCCCUUCUUCUGGCCUUGGAAUCCAUUAUUUUCUUCUUUGUCAACCCAUCAUUCUUGGAUCCUUUCUUUUGCUUGGUAAAAUUCACAAUUGCUCUAAUGAGCAACAAAUCACUAGACACCAAAUCCUUAAGAUUUCCAACACAAGGUUGCCUUCUGGGCAUGGGCUUCAACCCUUGAAGCAUUGGAAUGGCGAGGGACAACAUGGAGAUGUGGCAGAGUAGUGUUCUGUAGUCACCCUUGUUUCCUUAUCACUUGCAUUUUUUAGAAGCUUUGAUAACAGCCCGAGUGUGAGGGAAGCCAUGGAGAUGACAACUGUUUUGUUCAUUUGGGAGGGCAAGGUUAGGAAGGAUUUGAGGGAGGGGUUCUAAU